UGGGGAAUCUUGCACAAUGGGGGCAACCCUGAUGCAGCGACGCCGCGUGAGCGAUGAAGCCCUUCGGGGCGUAAAGCUCUUUCGACAGGAACGAUAAUGACGGUACCUGGAGAAGAAGCUGCGGCUAACUACGUGCCAGCAGCCGCGGUAAUACGUAGGCAGCGAGCGUUGUUCGGAGUUACUGGGCGUAAAGAGUGCGUAGGCGGCGAGCCAAGUUUGGUGUGAAAUCUCCCGGCUUAACCGGGAGGGUGCGCCGAAAACUGGUUGGCUGGAGUAUGGGAGAGGAAAGCGGAAUUCCUGGUGUAGCGGUGAAAUGCGUAGAUAUCAGGAGGAACACCUGCGGUGUAGACAGCUUUCUGGACCAAAACUGACGCUGAGGCACGAAAGCGUGGGUAGCAAACA
This 402-nucleotide ribosomal RNA is filed under the name uncultured bacterium. RNAcentral's name for it is "bacterial SSU rRNA". It matches the Rfam family "Bacterial small subunit ribosomal RNA", at positions 355 to 774 of the family's 1533-position model. The record is from RNAcentral.